GUACAGAGGGUUGCCAAGCCGUAAGGUGGAGCUAAUCCCUUAAAGCUACUCUCAGUUCGGAUUGUAGGCUGAAACUCGCCUACAUGAAGCUGGAGUUACUAGUAAUCGCAGAUCAGAAUGCUGCGGUGAAUGCGUUCCCGGGUCUUGUACACACCGCCCGUCACACCACGGGAGUUGGAGACGCCCGAAGCCGAUUAUCUAACCUUUUGGAAGAAGUCGUCGAAGGUGGAAUCAAUAACUGGGGUGAAGUCGUAACAAGGUAGCCGUAUCGGAAGGUGCGGCUGGAUCACCUCCUUUCUAAGGAGA
This 306-nucleotide ribosomal RNA is filed under the name Clostridioides difficile. RNAcentral describes it as "partial 16S ribosomal RNA". It matches the Rfam family "Bacterial small subunit ribosomal RNA", at positions 1237 to 1533 of the family's 1533-position model. Lineage: Bacteria; Bacillati; Bacillota; Clostridia; Peptostreptococcales; Peptostreptococcaceae. The record is from RNAcentral.